UAGCGAUACUCUGGAAAGUGUCACGCACCGGUAACGGUGGUGGCCGCCGAAGGUGUAACCCGUGUCUCCGUCUCGUGGCGGACCUACGGGGAAGCUCUCAGGUUUCCGUGACAGAGGGGGCACC
RNAcentral lists this non-coding RNA (124 nucleotides) under Novosphingobium sp. Rr 2-17. Its description in RNAcentral is "Glycine riboswitch aptamer". It matches the Rfam family "Glycine riboswitch aptamer". From Rfam's summary of the family: This family represents the bacterial glycine riboswitch. RNAcentral also lists the same sequence under 1 other name. Lineage: Bacteria; Pseudomonadati; Pseudomonadota; Alphaproteobacteria; Sphingomonadales; Sphingomonadaceae. The record is from Rfam by way of RNAcentral.